This 554-nucleotide ribosomal RNA is filed under the name uncultured archaeon. RNAcentral describes it as "bacterial SSU rRNA". It matches the Rfam family "Archaeal small subunit ribosomal RNA", at positions 325 to 879 of the family's 1478-position model. The record is from RNAcentral.
UCGGGGUGCAGCAGGCGCGAAAACUUUACAAUGCGGGAAACCGUGAUAAGGGGACACCGAGUGCCAGCAUCAUAUGCUGGCUGUCCAGGUGUGUAAACUACACCUGUUAGCAAGGGCCGGGCAAGACCGGUGCCAGCCGCCGCGGUAACACCGGCGGCCCGAGUGGUGAUCGUGAUUAUUGGGUCUAAAGGGUCCGUAGCCGGUUUGGUCAGUCCUCCGGGAAAUCUGACGGCUCAACCGUUAGGCUUUCGGGGGAUACUGCCAGGCUUGGAACCGGGAGAGGUAAGAGGUACUACAGGGGUAGGAGUGAAAUCUUGUAAUCCCUGUGGGACCACCUGUGGCGAAGGCGUCUUACCAGAACGGGUUCGACGGUGAGGGACGAAAGCUGGGGGCACGAACCGGAUUAGAUACCCGGGUAGUCCCAGCCGUAAACGAUGCUCGCUAGGUGUCAGGCAUGGCGCGACCGUGUCUGGUGCCGCAGGGAAGCCGUGAAGCGAGCCACCUGGGAAGUACGGCCGCAAGGCUGAAACUUAAAGGAAUUGGCGGGGGAGCAC